GGUUAAGCGACUAAGCGUACACGGUGGAUGCCCUGGCAGUCAGAGGCGAUGAAGGACGUGCUAAUCUGCGAUAAGCGUCGGUAAGGUGAUAUGAACCGUUAUAACCGGCGAUUUCCGAAUGGGGAAACCCAGUGUGAUUCGUCACACUAUCAUUAACUGAAUCCAUAGGUUAAUGAGGCGAACCGGGGGAACUGAAACAUCUAAGUACCCCGAGGAAAAGAAAUCAACCGAGAUUCCCCCAGUAGCGGCGAGCGAACGGGGAGCAGCCCAGAGCCUGAAUCAGUGUGUGUGUUAGUGGAAGCGUCUGGAAAGGCGCGCGAUACAGGGUGACAGCCCCGUACACAAAAAUGCACAUGCUGUGAGCUCGAUGAGUAGGGCGGGACACGUGGUAUCCUGUCUGAAUAUGGGGGGACCAUCCUCCAAGGCUAAAUACUCCUGACUGACCGAUAGUGAACCAGUACCGUGAGGGAAAGGCGAAAAGAACCCCGGCGAGGGGAGUGAAAAAGAACCUGAAACCGUGUACGUACAAGCAGUGGGAGCACGCUUAGGCGUGUGACUGCGUACCUUUUGUAUAAUGGGUCAGCGACUUAUAUUCUGUAGCAAGGUUAACCGAAUAGGGGAGCCGAAGGGAAACCGAGUCUUAACUGGGCGUUAAGUUGCAGGGUAUAGACCCGAAACCCGGUGAUCUAGCCAUGGGCAGGUUGAAGGUUGGGUAACACUAACUGGAGGACCGAACCGACUAAUGUUGAAAAAUUAGCGGAUGACUUGUGGCUGGGGGUGAAAGGCCAAUCAAACCGGGAGAUAGCUGGUUCUCCCCGAAAGCUAUUUAGGUAGCGCCUCGUGAAUUCAUCUCCGGGGGUAGAGCACUGUUUCGGCAAGGGGGUCAUCCCGACUUACCAACCCGAUGCAAACUGCGAAUACCGGAGAAUGUUAUCACGGGAGACACACGGCGGGUGCUAACGUCCGUCGUGAAGAGGGAAACAACCCAGACCGCCAGCUAAGGUCCCAAAGUCAUGGUUAAGUGGGAAACGAUGUGGGAAGGCCCAGACAGCCAGGAUGUUGGCUUAGAAGCAGCCAUCAUUUAAAGAAAGCGUAAUAGCUCACUGGUCGAGUCGGCCUGCGCGGAAGAUGUAACGGGGCUAAACCAUGCACCGAAGCUGCGGCAGCGACGCUUAUGCGUUGUUGGGUAGGGGAGCGUUCUGUAAGCCUGCGAAGGUGUGCUGUGAGGCAUGCUGGAGGUAUCAGAAGUGCGAAUGCUGACAUAAGUAACGAUAAAGCGGGUGAAAAGCCCGCUCGCCGGAAGACCAAGGGUUCCUGUCCAACGUUAAUCGGGGCAGGGUGAGUCGACCCCUAAGGCGAGGCCGAAAGGCGUAGUCGAUGGGAAACAGGUUAAUAUUCCUGUACUUGGUGUUACUGCGAAGGGGGGACGGAGAAGGCUAUGUUGGCCGGGCGACGGUUGUCCCGGUUUAAGCGUGUAGGCUGGUUUUCCAGGCAAAUCCGGAAAAUCAAGGCUGAGGCGUGAUGACGAGGCACUACGGUGCUGAAGCAACAAAUGCCCUGCUUCCAGGAAAAGCCUCUAAGCAUCAGGUAACAUCAAAUCGUACCCCAAACCGACACAGGUGGUCAGGUAGAGAAUACCAAGGCGCUUGAGAGAACUCGGGUGAAGGAACUAGGCAAAAUGGUGCCGUAACUUCGGGAGAAGGCACGCUGAUAUGUAGGUGAAGUCCCUUGCGGAUGGAGCUGAAAUCAGUCGAAGAUACCAGCUGGCUGCAACUGUUUAUUAAAAACACAGCACUGUGCAAACACGAAAGUGGACGUAUACGGUGUGACGCCUGCCCGGUGCCGGAAGGUUAAUUGAUGGGGUCAGCGCAAGCGAAGCUCUUGAUCGAAGCCCCGGUAAACGGCGGCCGUAACUAUAACGGUCCUAAGGUAGCGAAAUUCCUUGUCGGGUAAGUUCCGACCUGCACGAAUGGCGUAAUGAUGGCCAGGCUGUCUCCACCCGAGACUCAGUGAAAUUGAACUCGCUGUGAAGAUGCAGUGUACCCGCGGCAAGACGGAAAGACCCCGUGAACCUUUACUAUAGCUUGACACUGAACAUUGAGCCUUGAUGUGUAGGAUAGGUGGGAGGCUUUGAAGUGUGGACGCCAGUCUGCAUGGAGCCGACCUUGAAAUACCACCCUUUAAUGUUUGAUGUUCUAACGUUGACCCGUAAUCCGGGUUGCGGACAGUGUCUGGUGGGUAGUUUGACUGGGGCGGUCUCCUCCUAAAGAGUAACGGAGGAGCACGAAGGUUGGCUAAUCCUGGUCGGACAUCAGGAGGUUAGUGCAAUGGCAUAAGCCAGCUUGACUGCGAGCGUGACGGCGCGAGCAGGUGCGAAAGCAGGUCAUAGUGAUCCGGUGGUUCUGAAUGGAAGGGCCAUCGCUCAACGGAUAAAAGGUACUCCGGGGAUAACAGGCUGAUACCGCCCAAGAGUUCAUAUCGACGGCGGUGUUUGGCACCUCGAUGUCGGCUCAUCACAUCCUGGGGCUGAAGUAGGUCCCAAGGGUAUGGCUGUUCGCCAUUUAAAGUGGUACGCGAGCUGGGUUUAGAACGUCGUGAGACAGUUCGGUCCCUAUCUGCCGUGGGCGCUGGAGAACUGAGGGGGGCUGCUCCUAGUACGAGAGGACCGGAGUGGACGCAUCACUGGUGUUCGGGUUGUCAUGCCAAUGGCACUGCCCGGUAGCUAAAUGCGGAAGAGAUAAGUGCUGAAAGCAUCUAAGCACGAAACUUGCCCCGAGAUGAGUUCUCCCUGACUCCUUGAGAGUCCUGAAGGAACGUUGAAGACGACGACGUUGAUAGGCCGGGUGUGUAAGCGCAGCGAUGCGUUGAGCUAACCGGUACUAAUGAACCGUGAGGCUUAACCUUACAACGCCGAAGGUGUUUUG
This 2924-nucleotide ribosomal RNA is filed under the name Escherichia coli. Its description in RNAcentral is "LSU rRNA". It matches the Rfam family "Bacterial large subunit ribosomal RNA". The record is from RNAcentral. Lineage: Bacteria; Pseudomonadati; Pseudomonadota; Gammaproteobacteria; Enterobacterales; Enterobacteriaceae.